AUAAUACACACAUCAAACUCAUCUCAAUCAUUCUUUCAAUACUCUCACAUUACUUAUCGGAUUUUCAUUAAGAUUAAUUAGUCUAUUGAUAAAGUCGCUUAGUGAUCAAAAAUGGAAGCCAUGGGAGAAUGGAGCACCGGCCUAGGCGGAAUUUAUACAGAGGAAGCUGACUUUAUGAAUCAGCUUCUUGCAUCCUAUGAGCAACCUUGUGGCGGUUCAUCUUCAGAGACAACCGCCACACUCGCGGCCUACCACCACCAGAGUUCUCACUGGAAUGGUGGCUUUUGCUUCUCCCAAGAGAGCAGCAGUUACAGUGGUUACUGCACGGUGAUGCCACGGCAAGAAGAAGACAACAAUGGGAUGGAAGACGCGACAAUCAACACGAACUUGUACUUAGUUGGUGAAGAGACAAGUGAAUGUGAUGUGACGGAAUACUCCGGUAAAAGCAUCUUGCCUUUGGAGACUGUCGCAGAAAACCACGACCAUAGUAUGCUACAGCCUGAGAACUCCUUGACAAAGACCACUGAUGAGAAACUGUUCAACCCAUGUGAGAGUUCUAAGAAGAGGACUCGUGCCACAUCAACUGAUAAGAAUAAGAGAGCCAACAAGGCACGGAGGAGCCAAAAAGGCAUAGAGAUGAGUGGCGAUAAUGAAAAUAUCGGCGAAGAAGAAUAUACGGAGAAGGCUGUAGGGAAGAGAAAGACCAAACCACUUAAGCCGCAAAAGACUUGUUGUUCGGAUGACGAAUCAAACGGUGGAGACACUUUCUUGUCCAAAGAAGAUGGCGAGGACUCUAAGGCUCUCAACCUCAACGGCAAGACAAGGGCCAGCCGCGGCGCUGCCACAGAUCCUCAAAGCCUUUAUGCAAGGAUGAAACAAUUAAACAAAGUCCAUUUUUAUGAUGGUGCAGAAAAGAAGAGAGAGGAUAAACGAGAGGCUAAGGAUUUUGCAACAUCUUGUCCCUAAUGGAACAAAGGUUGAUAUAAGCACGAUGUUGGAAGAAGCAGUACAAUACGUCAAAUUUUUGCAGCUCCAAAUUAAGUUAUUGAGCUCUGAUGAUCUAUGGAUGUAUGCGCCCAUUGCUUACAACGGAAUGGACAUUGGCCUUGACCUAAAACUCAAUGCACUGACAAGAUGAUUCAAGAGACACCUUCGGAUUUUUAUUUUAUUUUUUUUGUUUAUAUAUAUAUAUAUAUAUAAAUAAUUUAAUACGAGAGAUAUGAAGAGUCACAUUUGACGUUUUAUACUCCAAUAUUAUUUUACUUUUGUAUGUCGAGUUAUGUCCAACAGUUUUUGAUUCUUGAGAUAUAUAUUGAUGUACGAACAUCUUUUUGAUAAUGGAUUUGUUUAUUUUAUUUCUUUUUUUGUUUGAAUUAUUUGAUUCGUUUACGUCAUACACGUAAAUGAUUUAAUCAGAAUUUAAUACUCUAAGGCGCUUAAUCUCCUUUGGAUUUUAUGCUUAAGCAGAAUUUAAUACUCAUAGGAUGCAUUCGGGACUUUUAACAUAUUUCUGAUCUUUUAUAAACCAUAUUUAGACCUAAAGACAUGACAAGGGAAAAAGUUGAAGGAAGAAAGAGCCGACCAGUCGGUCAAUGAUCUGACCUUGUUCGAGAACCUGGUAUAUAAGAUGAAUGUUGAGUUUCCAAACCCUAAUUAAUCAAGUUUGAUUAGUAAAAUAUCUUUUGGGUUUAUAACUUAUCUUUGUAAAAACAUGAUCAAUAUCGUGAUCUCCCUCUGCCAAUCUAGAAACAUUACUUAUCUCAUCCUUCAUUAUGUGAUUUAUGAUAUGUCUUCUUCCAUUCUAGCUACUAGUCUCCUUCCAAAUAUUAAUUAAGCAAGUGUGUAGUUUUCUAACUUGGGUCUUAGGGUAGAUCAUUGGUUAGUUUGGAUUGAUGAUUUUAGGGUUAGGACACUUCAGAUUCAUUCAAUAAAGGGUAAGGUUAAUAGUAAGAAAAAAGAAAAAAACUUGAUUACAUUGUCUUUGAAAAUAAGAUAUUUUGUGCACCACGAAUAUUCAAUCAAAACGGAAUGAGUAUACAAUUUUAAUAAAUGGGAGUUGAUGUUAAGAAAUAUUAAGAUCUUUUUGGAUUAGAGUGUUAACGUUUGUUAAUCACUUAUAUUAAAAAUGAGAUUUUAGUAGGUAUAGGUGAUUAAAAUCUUAAAAGAUGAUUAGCUACAAAGUAAUUAUCCAUUUUUAGGAUUGUGCUUUAAUUAGGCCAUUGUUGGGGUCGGAUUCCACCCGUACUAAGAUCGAGCCAAACCGUAACAUUUCGGGUACAUUGACAGCCAGCUCGGGCCAUCUUCCAAAUCGGCUCGUGAAACACUGUGUCGAUUUGGCUCGGGAACACUGACCAAAUCGGCUCGGGGACUGUGCCGAUUCGGCUCGUAAACAUUGACCAAAUCAGCUCGGGGCUGUGCCGAUUCGGUUCGGACACUGACCAAAUCGGCUCGGGGGACACCGACUAGAUUAGCUCGGGAUGCGACGGUUCGGGAUGGCAGUAACGUUUCACUUUAACCCGAGCCGAAUGCACACGCUAUCCCGAGGCGGUGUUAACAAUACCCGAGGCGGUGUUAACAAUACCCGAGGCAAAGCCUCACUACUCCCCGAGGUGAAAUAUCAGUGCUACCCGAGGCAAAACGUAUGUUGUACCCGAGGAGGAAUGCACCAAGACACCCCGAGGCAAGGACUUGGUAAAUAUUCAUCUUCAAAGUGUCAUUUCUGAACAGGAUGGCAUCAUUUUCGAAAAAGAAAGAUCAUUUC
This is an RNA transcript of Arabidopsis lyrata subsp. lyrata, 2761 nucleotides long. It is a transcript of the gene named transcription factor bHLH84, with no coding region annotated. The record is from RefSeq and is a predicted model, not a curated record. The transcript is spliced from 5 exons. Lineage: Eukaryota; Viridiplantae; Streptophyta; Magnoliopsida; Brassicales; Brassicaceae.